UGGCUCUGGCAUCGAUGAAGAACGCAGCGAAAUGCGAUAAGUAAUGUGAAUUGCAGAAUUCAGUGAAUCAUCGAAUCUUUGAACGCACAUUGCGCCCCCGGGCAUUCCCGGGGGCAUGCCUGUUCGAGCGUCAUUUCACCCCUCAAGCGCCCGCGCUUGGUCUUGGGUCACGCCGGAAACGGCCGGCCUUAAAAGCAGUGGCGGCGUCGUCGGGCUCUGCGCGUGGUAACCUCUCUCGCGUCUGGGCUUCGGCGGUCGCUGGCCAGCAACCCCCCAAUUUUUCAUGGUUGACCUCGGAUCAGGUAGGGAUACCCGCUGA
This 319-nucleotide unclassified non-coding RNA is filed under the name uncultured fungus. RNAcentral describes it as "partial contains 5.8S ribosomal RNA and internal transcribed spacer 2". The stretch from base 1 to 133 matches the Rfam family "5.8S ribosomal RNA", at positions 22 to 154 of the family's 154-position model. The record is from RNAcentral. Lineage: Eukaryota; Fungi.